Molecule: long non-coding RNA, 3087 nt
Organism: Trichomycterus rosablanca
Lineage: Eukaryota; Metazoa; Chordata; Actinopteri; Siluriformes; Trichomycteridae
Exons: 4
Source: RefSeq, a predicted model, not a curated record
AAUGUUUGAGAUGUUGCAUUUUCAACUGACUGGACAUAGUUUGAAUGGCACACAUCUGGGUCUAAGGGCCCUCAAUUUACACUGCAAAAACCAAGCCAUGAAGUCCAAGGAACUUACUGUUGAUCUUAAAAAUCAAAUCAAAUUGUGGGAAGGCACAUAAAGGGCAAGGACAUAAAACAAUAUCUAAGGAUUUGAGGAUUUAAGAACCUCAGUGGACUCCAUAAUUUUAAAUCAAAAGUUUGGCUCAACCUUAAACCUUCUUAAAUUGGGCAUAUAGCCUGGAAAGGCGUUGGUCAAGGGGUGAGAAGUUAGAUAUUGUUAUACUAAAAAAUCUAAAGAAGUGGGUAAAUGGGUGAAUGGACAACCAUCUCUGCAGCACACCAUAAACUAAGUCUUACUGGCCGAGUGGCAGGAAGGAAACCACUGUUAAAUAAAAGGCUGGAUAAAUUAAUUAAAUAACUACCUAUUGGUGUUUGCAAAACAGCAUGUAAAAGACUCUGGCAAUAUAAAAUGGCUAAUACUAUUCCUAAUGUGUAACAUAGUGGUGGCAGAAUCAUGCUAUGGAGAUGCUUCUCAGUAGCAGAGACGGGAGACUGGUAAGAAUUGAGGGACGAAUUAAUGCAGCCAAAUACAGAACACCCUUAAAACACCCUCCAUGCAAACUCAGACAUGAGGAACACUUUACCUUUAAACAUUACAAUGACCCAAAGCCUGGUCAAAACAACACUGAAGUGGCUUCAGGGAAAGUCUUUAAGAGCUAGAAAUGACAGUUCACCCAUGCUUGUCAUCCAAUCUGACGAAGCUUGAGAGGAUAUGCCAUGAACAAUGUAAAAAAAAAAAAAAAACUGCCCAAAUACUUUAUGUAAUAGGCUGACCCUUAGGAGUACUUAAAUAUACUUCUGGGAAAAUGUGUGAUUUUAAUUGCAGUCAUUUUUUAUUAAUUGUAUGUAGCAUUUUUUUUUUUUUUUUACAGUACUAUACAUAUUACAAUUUACAGCAUUCUUAUUCAGUAUGACAGAAGUGCUUUCUUUAUUAAACAUUUCCUUAUUUUAAUACAAUCUAAAGAAAACCAUUAGAUAAAAAUAUAAAAUAUAGGUAGGAGAAAUAAAAAAAUAAUAAAAAUGGUGACAUUAGUAAGUGCAAAGUACAUUUCUGUUAAGUAAGUAAAAUUGAAAAGAGUAAACAGAUAAGAUUAAAUAUAAAAUAUUAAAAAUAUAAAGAAUCUAAAAUAUUAAAUAAUAUUUAUUAUUGGUAAAACAGUAAUUCAUUAAUGUAUGAUUUUUAUUAUUUAUGAACCUGCUUUAUUUGGAUCAGGUUCACAAUAGAACUGGCAUCACCUGGAAACACUGGUUACAUUGUGGGAAUACAUUCUAAACAAGGUGUUAAUUAAUUGUGGGACACUGAUCUUUAAUAAAUUAACUAUACAUUUGUUUAUAUAACUAUUAAUCAUACACUGCUUAUUUAAUAUGAUCAAAGACAAUGCCGGUUUAAACAAGUAUGUGCUUUAGAUUUUAUUCUCAAUAUAAUCUAGCAUACUAUUUCUGAGACCAAAAUAAGAAAGCAAACAUUCUACACUUGUUGUGCAAUGCGUGAUUUUUGGGUUUAAUGGAAAGGCUGCCUUGGCGAGACUGGCUAUACUGCUUCAGGAAAUCAGUUGAACAUAAAAUAAAUUAUGAAUAAAACUUAUAUAUGUGAUAGUACUGUAGUUGUGUAACAGUCUUUAUUUAUUUAGCCACUGGCCAAUUUAUUCAUUCAUUUAUUCAUUGUCUGUUUUACUCUUGCUAAGGUCACGGUGGGUCCGAUUAAUUGGGCAGAGACAUGAAACAACCCGGACAGGUCACCAGUCCAUCACAGUACACACUUCAUCCUGACUGGCAUCCCGGUCAGAUGCCACAUGAAAACACUACAGGCGAGCUUGAUUGUGCAUAAGCUGAGAUCCUCCAACAUCACAGAGCUUGUCGGCACUGCCAUGCAGAAGCAGGAAAGGCCAGGUGAUAUCAGGAAGUUCUUUUUCAAUGCGUGAAGAGGCUGCCAUCAGUUGCAUUCCAAAUGAGACUUUCAUCCCUCCAUGAUAAACCAGCUCAUCUGUUUCAUAGGCCUCCACCUGCAGCACAGAAGAUGGGUGGAGCUCUGCACUGUAUUUUGAAUAAUUUAAAGUUCAGACCCAAGGCAGGCUGGUUUACCCAACACUGAAAAUGACUAAAGAAGACAUAGUGGCAAAGCUGCAACCUGACAGGACAGUCAACAUUUAACACGUGUCUGAAAAAAAACAAAACAUUUUUAUUCCCACCCUGUAUUAUACUGUAUAAUCAUUGUUGAGAAGUGUACAUCUUUUGUUUUUCAGAACUGCAUUGAAAAGCAGAAGUGCCUGUUCUAUCUGCAUUGUUAGACAAGGUCAUUCACAUGAUGGAAAAUAAAGUUCCAGAGUAUCAGGUUAACCCCAACCUUAUUCAUUAUUCAUAUAUUUAUUUACUAUUAAUGAUUACUCAGGAAUCUAAACGCAUACGGCAUUAAAUCUACACUCAGAGGAACAAGUUUGUGUUCUUAAAAUAACUAAAUAAUAACGAGGUAAUCAUUCACAGUACAGGCUGGAAAACCCUUGUGAACUUUUGUAUUUAUUGACUGAUGCUAUGCUUCAUUAUGCUCCAUGUACUUCACAGCUGGGAGAACGUUUUGGCGUUGUAGUGUGCAGUGCCUUUUUCUGCUUUUUGCAAUACUGCCAAAAAUGUGUUUUUGUCUCUAUCCAAAGAACAUUCCACAAAUCAAGGUGGUUUUUCAUGUUUGGUUUUGUCAGUGGUGUCUAUUUAUUUACAAAUUGUAUUUUUUUAUAGUAGCAAUACAGUGGUACCUUGUAACUCAACAUCCCCUAAACUCAACACCCUUUGACGACCAUGAGACGAAUCUGCAUUUGUGUGGAAUAACCGUCAAAUUUACUCUGAAAGCCUCUACAUGUGUCUGUGUUUAUCUGGAUUUUUCUCCUGUUUCACUUUUAAACUUUAAAAGUUACAGUUGGGGUUCUGAGAAAUUGUAGGAAUCAGUCUAAAAUGCUUAUCGUUAAUAAAAAAUAAUGUAACUUAAUGUAUUAAA